GACAGCAGCCGCCGCGGUAAUACGUAUGUCACAAGCGUUAUCCGGAUUUAUUGGGCGUAAAGCGCGUCUAGGUGGUUAUGUAAGUCUGAUGUGAAAAUGCAGGGCUCAACUCUGUAUUGCGUUGGAAACUGUGUAACUAGAGUACUGGAGAGGUAAGCGGAACUACAAGUGUAGAGGUGAAAUUCGUAGAUAUUUGUAGGAAUGCCGAUGGGGAAGCCAGCUUACUGGACAGAUACUGACGCUAAAGCGCGAAAGCGUGGGUAGCAAACAGGAUUAGAUACCCCUGUAGUCCCUGUCUCUUAUACA
Molecule: ribosomal RNA, 306 nt
Filed under: uncultured bacterium
Lineage: Bacteria
Description: partial 16S ribosomal RNA
Rfam family: Bacterial small subunit ribosomal RNA
Source: RNAcentral